Molecule: ribosomal RNA, 500 nt
Filed under: uncultured bacterium
Lineage: Bacteria
Description: partial 16S ribosomal RNA
Rfam family: Bacterial small subunit ribosomal RNA
Source: RNAcentral
AUUGAACACUGGCGGAAUGCUUUACACAUGCAAGUCGAACGGCAGCACGGACUUCGGUCUGGUGGCGAGUGGCGAACGGGUGAGUAAUGUAUCGGAACGUGCCCAGUCGUGGGGGAUAACGUAGUGAAAAUUACGCUAAUACCGCAUACGAUCUAUGGAUGAAAGCGGGGGAUCGCAAGACCUCGCGCGAUUGGAGCGGCCGAUAUCAGAUUAGGUAGUUGGUGGGGUAAAGGCCCACCAAGCCAACGAUCUGUAGCUGGUCUGAGAGGACGACCAGCCACACUGGAACUGGGACACGGUCCAGACUCCUACGGGAGGCAGCAGUGGGGAAUUUUGGACAAUGGGCGAAAGCCUGAUCCAGCCAUUCCGCGUGCAGGAUGAAGGCCCUCGGGUUGUAAACUGCUUUUGUACAGAACGAAAAGGUUUCUACUAAUACUAGGAGCUCAUGACGGUACUGUGAGAAUAAGCACCGGCUAACUACGUGCCAGCCGCCGCAGUAA